CCUCUUAGGGUUUCGACUUCGAUUCGUUUUGGAUUUUAGGGUUUUGUUGGGAUAUUGAUUUGGGGGUUUUGCUAAUCUUCUUUGAAAUUAGAUUGGGGCAUUAGGGAUUUGUUGAUUUACAGGUUGGAAGUGACUGAAAUGGAAUUGAAUUUUACUCAGGUUUAGGGAUCUGGUACUGGGUUUUUGGAUUACCUUAUUGGUUUAUUCUUGAAUUCGAUUUGGGUGUUUAUUAGCUAUAACCUUUGAAUAAAAUUUGCUUAAACUUUAUGGGUGUUCUUCAAAUUGUUUUGAGCUGGACUCCGAUUCGUCGUCGUUGUACUGUCUCCAGCUCUGAAGCCGUCUCUGCUCACUAUACCCAGAAGACAACACCUUGAGUAUGAGUAACAAAUGGACGUAACAGAUUACAGGGCUGGAAGAACAGUAGUGGAUCCUUCGGAGAGAUCUACUUAGGUCCGCACAAAAGGCUGGAGUUUUUGCUGCAUCAAUCUGCGAACAAGUCCUAUGCAGAUUGUGGAUCUUCAGAUCCAAAAUGGGUGCAAGUGUGGCUAUGCCUUUUUCUGUCUACUGUCAAUAUAUUUUAUUUUUACAAGCUUCUUUUUCUUCGUAGCAAUUCUACUUUUGGCUUUAAAUAUAUAUCAAAGUAUGUCUAUAUCACAAUGUGGGUGGUGUAAAUUGACAAAGGUUUGAGAUGUCUAUAUCAUAUUGCUUUGGAGCGAGUCUGUGAUGCAUGUUUUCAAUUCUGGACUCCAAGCGGUUUGUGAGGCGGACAAAAGGCUCAGGGUCUGCCGUCGAUGGAUCCUCGGGAUUGCUACGCAGGGGAGAGGACCGUGAACGAGGUUGAGUGUGGGUUCGUUGGCAGAUUUGGGCUGGGAUGAGAGGAAGUAGAAGGCGGGGGAGGGGUGUUAUGUGAUUGUAAUAUGGAUAGCUUCUCUGUUCAAAAUUCUCCAUGGUUCAUACUCACCUUCCAAGGGCGCUAUCUUGGAUGAUUAUAAUAAUGGUGGGUGUUCUGCACGAGCGUUUGUAUUUUACAGUGUUUUUUUUUUUUUUUACUAUUGGUUUAGUAUAAUGUGUUGUUGAUAUCAAGUGGUAGUGCCAAGAAGAGAACUGCAUUGCUGGUUGUUGGCCACCCAGAUGAUGAGUCCAUAUUGCUUUGACUAUUUCAUGUCAAUUUUACUGGGAGAGAACAGCUUGCAGAUCGCCAUGUCAGUUCCAUAUAUAUAUAUAUAUGGUAGAUGAAUAGUUUUAAGGAACUUCUUUUGUCCCUAUAGAUAGAGCUAGUCACUAUAGGAUUAUACUUAAACCUAGCUAGUUUUUUUGUGCCUUCAUCGAUCAUACUUGAACCUAGUUUAGUAUUAGGGAACUGAUGGGAUUGAUCGCUAUAUGUAUUCAUGUAUUUUGGUGGAGACAAUGACAAAUAUGGCUUCAU
Molecule: long non-coding RNA, 1426 nt
Organism: Rosa rugosa (rugosa rose)
Lineage: Eukaryota; Viridiplantae; Streptophyta; Magnoliopsida; Rosales; Rosaceae
Exons: 4
Source: RefSeq, a predicted model, not a curated record